RNAcentral lists this ribosomal RNA (450 nucleotides) under uncultured bacterium. RNAcentral describes it as "partial 16S ribosomal RNA". It matches the Rfam family "Bacterial small subunit ribosomal RNA", at positions 354 to 796 of the family's 1533-position model. The record is from RNAcentral.
GUGGGGAAUUUUGGACAAUGGGCGCAAGCCUGAUCCAGCCAUUCCGCGUGCAGGAUGAAGGCCUUCGGGUUGUAAACUGCUUUUGUACGGAACGAAAAGGUCCUUUCUAAUAAAGAGGGCUCAUGACGGUACCGUAAGAAUAAGCACCGGCUAACUACGUGCCAGCAGCCGCGGUAAUACGUAGGGUGCGAGCGUUAAUCGGAAUUACUGGGCGUAAAGCGUGCGCAGGCGGUGAUGUAAGACAGUUGUGAAAUCUCCGGGCUCAACCUGGGAACUGCAUCUGUGACUGCAUUGCUGGAGUGCGGCAGAGGGGGAUGGAAUUCCGCGUGUAGCAGUGAAAGGCGUAGAUAUGCGGAGGAACACCGAUGGCGAAGGCAAUCCCCUGGGCCUGCACUGACGCUCAUGCACGAAAGCGUGGGGAGCAAACAGGAUUAGAAACCCGAGUAGUCC